Non-coding RNA from Gordonia polyisoprenivorans VH2, 407 nucleotides. It matches the Rfam family "Bacterial RNase P class A". Rfam says of the family: Ribonuclease P (RNase P) is a ubiquitous endoribonuclease, found in archaea, bacteria and eukarya as well as chloroplasts and mitochondria. Its best characterised activity is the generation of mature 5'-ends of tRNAs by cleaving the 5'-leader elements of precursor-tRNAs. Lineage: Bacteria; Bacillati; Actinomycetota; Actinomycetes; Mycobacteriales; Gordoniaceae. The record is from Rfam.
CGAGUCGGCCGGGCGGCCGCGGCGCGUGGGACGGCCAGUCACUGGAAACGCCACGCGCCGAGGAAAGUCCGGACUCCACAGAGCAGGGUGGUUGUCAACGGCAACCCGGGGCGACCCGCGGGACAGUGCCACAGAGAACAGACCGCCGGCCGCACGGCCGGUAAGGGUGAAACGGUGCGGUAAGAGCGCACCAGCGAUGCGGGUGACCGCGUCGGCUCGGUAAACCCCACCCGGAGCAAGGCCGAAGCACGGACCGCUUGCGGUGCGUGUGCGCGGACGUGAUGAGGGCUGCUCGCCCCAGUCCGCGGGUGGGCCGCUCGAGGUACCCGGCGACGGUGUGCCCAGAUGGAUGGUCGCCACCGACCUCACGGUCGGGACAGGAUCCGGCUUACACGCCGACUCGUUCG